RNAcentral lists this ribosomal RNA (285 nucleotides) under Triticum aestivum (bread wheat). RNAcentral describes it as "partial small subunit ribosomal RNA". The record is from RNAcentral. Lineage: Eukaryota; Viridiplantae; Streptophyta; Magnoliopsida; Poales; Poaceae.
AUGUGGGUCAACGGAGCCGGCGAACUGCGGCAAGGAGGACAUGGUGCUGGUGGACAUGCACAUGAGGAGCAGCUCGUCGCCCGGCGCGGUGGUCGCCGCGGGCGGGCCCACGUUCCUGAUGGUGCCACCCAUGUACCUGGUGCCGACAGCAGGGGCAGGGGAUGGGGCUGCGUCCAUGGAAGUUCCCCUCCACAUCCGCAUCGACAAGCUCUCCCCUUGGUCCGAUGCAUUGGUUUGAUUAGGUCCAGCACUCACUCAAGGCAGUUCAAGGAUGUAUUUGGGUGA